This 26988-nucleotide long non-coding RNA is filed under the name Homo sapiens (human). Its description in RNAcentral is "non-protein coding lnc-C9orf50-4:5". The record is from RNAcentral. Lineage: Eukaryota; Metazoa; Chordata; Mammalia; Primates; Hominidae.
GCUGGGGCACCAGGAGGCCAGGAUGGAGCUCCACAGAGCCCCAGGGGUACGGGAGAGGUGGCAGUGCCCGCUCCGCAUCCAUUCCUCCUCCCCAGGCCCUGCCAGCUGGCUUCUCCAGCUCCAACUGGGCUCUGCCUUUCCCUCUCCCUCCAUCACCCUGCUGCCUCCCCUCCUUCUCCCCUCCUCUCCUGCUCUCUUUCCCGUUCCCUCCCCUCUCCCCAUUCCCCUUCCCGGACCUCCCCCGCCCUCACUUCUUUCCUCUCCUCUCCUCUCUUUUCCUCUCCUCUUUUCUCUGAGUCCUUCUCCCUCGCCUCCUUCCUUUCUUCUUCCUGGGUUAAAAAUAAUCAACUUUCUGGGAAGCAGCAGCUCCUGCUGAGCCGCCCUCCCCACACUCGGGAGCCCCUGAGAAUAGCUUUCUGCGGUUCUCCACUAGAGCCCCUCCCCUCCCCUCGCCGCCUCCCCGCGAGCUGACUAAUAAGCCCGGCCGCGCGGUGCCAGCUCGGCUGGAAAGGCGUUAACCACUUCGUGCCCGGACUGCGCGAAAGGGGCGGACCGGCUCCCUGCAGGCCCGGGGGGAGGGGUGGCGGGCGCGGGCGGCCCCGGGACACGGCUCAGGACGAGGCCCUGAGCGGCAGGCGGUAGGCCCUCGAUUUUUACUGGCGGUGGGAUGAAUGUUGACUUCUGACCGCCACGCCGGCAGGUCCUGCUGCUGGUGCAGCUAGCAGAGCUUAGUGGCCUCGGUGGGCGCGCCAGGUGCGACACCCAAGGGAUGGGUCGGGGUCACAUGGAGGGCGUGGCUGGGCCGGUGAGGCUCUCUCCCCGUGGCCCGAGGGACUCCUAGGUCCUGGCACUGGGCACCGCCUGAGGGGAAGCCGGGGCUGGGACCGUUAAAGUUCGGGCCAAGGGCAGGGAAGGGCUGAAAACUGUCCUGGGAUCCAAGGACGUCCACAGCUGGUAGGGUCUUUAGCGAUCACCCACUCUGCUUCUUGCAGAAAGGGAAACUGAGGCCCAGAGGGUGUGACUGAGGCCGGGACGUCUCUCAGUUCCUGUCCCAGACUAAGGGAGGCCCGCGGCCCUGCAGCCGACUUUCAGUUCGGGCGCCUCUGCAGGGGUAAGGUUGGGGGAGGGGAGGGUGUACAUCAAGGUCAAAGGUGAGGGGUAGGUGGGGAGAGAAGAAGCGCUGAGCUCUGCGGGGUCCCCGUCAGCCCCGCCCACUCCGCGUGGUCCCGGCAUUACCUCAUCGCGGCGCGCGCUCAUUGGCUGGCUCCCCCCUUGAAGGACAGCCCAAUGCGGCGGAGCCCGUUAACCCUUUCCGCCCCGCGGACUCUGCCCUGGCCAUGCCACCUGCCUCCGCGGCCCCCAAGCGGCUUUCAGGCGCUGGAGGGCCACGGAGAACAGGGAAGGGUAGUGUGGGAGCCGGCUUGAGGCCAGAGAGCACAGUGGUUAGAGCACAGGUCAGACAACUACGUCUUCGGCCCCUGUCCUGCGGCCGGCCGGCCGGCUGUGUGACCUUGGGGGACUGGCUUCACCUCGCCGAGCCUCCGCUAGUUUGCUCAGCUGUAAACAGGUGAAUGAUGUAACUCCUGCCCUUCCCAAUUCCUUCUUCCCGGUGUACUUGCCAAGUGCCAGGCACACGUGGGCUCUGCGUUCUAUUCCACCUUGUCUCCUCACUGGAAGAGGUACAGUUAUUAUUAUGGGUUUUCCGGGGAGGAAACAGGGCUCAGGGCAGCAAAGCUGCCUCCCAAGGUCACGCAUCAAGAAAGUCACAGAGCUGGGAUUUGACCCCGAGUCUGCGGGUUCUGAGCUGUACUCCUCCCCAGGGCAAGAUUCUGCUUCUGCUGGGAGGCGCUGCUUCUAGGAGCUCUCCGUCUCUCCGGAAGGAGGGACAGGACUCAUACCCAGCUGGUCAGCUCGUGACAGAUGCCACUGUGGCCAAAUAAAACCAGAGCCCAGGAUCUCCAUGGACAAGGGACAGGAAGAAGGGUGAGGGCAGGGAGGGGCUGGAGUUGAAUCCUCAAACAGGGAGGCAGGAGGACCCUCAGACAAAGGCAGGGGGCUGGACUGAGCCCAGCGAGGGUGCAUGGAGUAGGAAGCUCUGAAGAAGCCUGCAGGAUCCCCUGGGGGUCAGCCUGCUGGUUAGGGGUCAGCCCAGGGAGGCGGCUUCUCUCUGGGCAGCACCAGGGGUCAGCCUGGGGCAGGAGUGCAAGCCGAGGCCCACAUACCUCAUGUCUAGGUAUUUACAAGUUAUAAAUCAAGCUAACAAACUGCUAAAUAAAAUAUGUUCUGUUGCCGGGUGCGGUGGCUCACGCCUGUAAUCCCAGCACUUUGGGAGGCUGAGGCGGGCAGAUCACCUGAGGUCGGGAGUUGGAGACUAACCUGACCAACAUGGAGAAACCACGUCUCUACUAAAAAUAUAAAAUUAGCCAGGCAUGGUGGCGCAUGCCUGUAAUCCCAGCUACUCGGGAGGCUGAGGCAGGAGAAUUGCUUGAACCAGGGAGGUGGAGGUUGCAGUGAGCCGAGAUCACACCACUGCACUCCAGCCUGGGCAACAAAAGCGAAACUCCGUCUCAAAAAAAAAAAAAAAGUUCUGUCCUCCUUCCUUGACAAAUACACCUUCAUAAGGACAAACACACCUGGAAGGCUGGGUUUGUGUUUAGAAUUCUCAGGCUCCUUGGAGACCACAGGAGGAGCUGUAGCGGGUUGGGGAGCCCGCCUCUCAGCCUCUGGCCUCCGGCUUCACACUCGCCUCUUCUUUUCUUUUUGCCCCAGGUUCUGUCCUUUUCCCUGAGGGGCUGUGCAUGCUCAGGUGUAGGCACUCCAGGCUGUAAGCACAUGUUCUGUCCACACCCCCUGCCAACAGCCACCUCCUGGUCACUCCUGGGGUUUAGGGGUGCCCAAACAGGUGGCUCAGACAACCCUCAGGAGGAUGCACACAGGACGCAGGCUGGGGCCAUUGAACAGGGAACUCCAGGGCCCCAGGUGCCAGAUCAUGGUCAAGGGGCCCAUGGCUCCAGCUGGAAAUGUCUCCCUGGUCCAGGAGCGCUGCCCUCUAAAGCACAGGGCUCAAGUCUGUGGGCUGAUGGCCCCAGGGUGCUGCGGCAGCUGGGGUGGCCAGAGCUGGACACGGGGUCUCCCUCCAUCCUUGAGCUUGCUCCUAACCAUCACCUCCAGCCAUGUACCCCCGCCCCAGCCAGAUUCCCCAUGCCCCAACCAAAUGCCGACCCUGGGGAGCUUCCCACCUCAAUGAGUCAGCUCCCUUUACCCUGUCCCCACUGCCCCCCACCCUUAUCCCCCUUAUCCGGCUGCUCCAUCUCCCGCCUGCUCCCUGGGCUCCUAGCCCCUACUCUCUGCCUGCCCCCCAACCCCCCUCCGCCACCCUAACCUCCUAUCUGCCCUCCUCAGCUCAGCCAGCCAGAUCUUUCUAAAAUGCAAGGCUGCAGGCUUCCUUCCCUCUCUAACCAGCGCUGGUUCCCGGGCUCUCUACAUAUCAUCCCCAGGCUCUGGAGGUCUCUCCUUUCCUCCCCUCUCCUCUCCUCGGGUUCUGAGCUCUAGCCAUUUGGGCCUUCUCUCCAAUUCAGUUUUGUGUGCUUUCUGCCUCACGGUCUUCAUGCGUGCUACCCCCCUCUACCUGGAACCAUGUUUUCUGCUCUUUGUCCCCGGCUCCCCAGACCAGCAGAAACCACAUGGCGAUGAGCACAUGGAGUUAUCAGUUUCCAGUGUGUUUCCUACCUGGCCUGCAGGCAACAGGAGGACAGGCUGGGUCAGUGCUGUUCACUGCUCCAUCUUCAGUGUCUGGCACAGAGCAGGUGUCACUGAAGUUUCGUAAGUCAGAUGCAUCUGCACUGGGCUUGAAAUCAAGACACCACAGCAGCUAAUGUCUAUUGUAUGCUCACUGUGUCCUGGGCCCUGCUUUUAAGCAUAUGACAUGUAUUAGUUCACUUAUUUCUCACAACAAUCUUUGAAAUAGGAAUGAUUACUAUCUCCACUCUACAGAAUGAGGACACUAAGGCACAGAGAAGUUCAGAGACUUAGGCUCACAGCUGGCCAGUGACAGACCCCGAUUUGAACCCAGGCAAUGGAGCUCCAAUGCUGAACCACCUCUUGCCAUCUAGCCCCAGCUGGGCCAAGGCCUUGCUGUGGGUCCCUGGGCCAGUGUCUCCACUUCUCUGAGCUGCAGCUUUGUUUUUUUUUUUUUUUUGGGAUGGAGUUUCGCUCUUUUUGCCAAGGCUGGAGUGCAAUAGUGUGAUCUCGGCUCACCGCAACCUCUGCCUCCCGGGUUCAAGCGAUUCUCCUGCCUCAGCCUCCUGAGUAGCUGGGAUUACAGGCAUGCACCAACACGCCUGGCUAAUUUUGUAUUUUUUAGCAGAGACAAGGUUUCUCCAUGUUGGCCAGGCUGGUCUCGAACUCCCAACCUCAGGUGAUCUGCCUGCCUUGGCCUCCCAAAGUGCUGGGAUUACAGGUGUGAGCCACCACGCCCAGCUCUGAGCUGCAGCUUUUCUGUGUGUGCAGUGGAGGGUUGGCCACAGUGGUGAUCCCUGAGGUCCCUUCCAGCUCUGGCAGCCUGGCAGCUCCUCUGAUGAUCCAUCCUUCAGGGAGCCAAGGACUCCCCGUGGAGGUCCUGCAGGGAUGCCCAAGAGUUGGGUGGCUGGGAAACAGCUCACCGUGUGUUAGGCUGUAGACCUGAGUACCUGGCCAGGGACCCAAUCGUCCCCAGCAGUCUUGUCAUUGUGACCGGCCUUCAUCUCACAGGAACCCAGGCUGGGCUACGUAAAUGAACUGAGCUGAACUGCCAGGUGCUGGGGUUCAGGCAGAGACUGGAGGCUAGAAGUUGAGGGGGGCCAAGUACUGCAGUUGGGCUGGGGGACAGUACUUGGGGCAGGGUUGAGCUUGGGUCCCCACACCAAGAGCUCCACAGUCAUCUCAGGGACCCUUCAACAACAGCCCUGAGGGCUAUGCAUCCAUUUUUUAGAGGAGGACAUGAUGGGGAGGCACAGUGGGGGACAGUGACCUGGCCGAGGUCACACAGCAAGAAGGAGUCUAGAUUUGGCUUUUAACCACUCUGCCCCCAGCCUUGGGCAAAGGUGUUCAGUGUAGAUGUGAGAGUGAACUGAUAGAGAAGUUCUAGAAGGGGUCAGGUGCAGUGGCUCACCCCUGUAAUCUCAGCACUGUGGGAGGCCGAGGCGGGCGGAUCACCUGAGGUCGGGAGUUCGACACCAGCCUGGCCAACAUGGUGAAACCCUGUCUCUACUAAAAAUACAAAAAUUAGCCGGGCAUGGUGGAGGGCGUCUGUAAUCCCAGCUACUCGGGAGGCUUAGGCAGGAGAAUCGCUUGAACCCAGGAGGUGGAGGUUGCAAUGAGCCGAGAUCGUGCCACUGCACUCCAGCUUGGGCUACAGAACAAGACUCUGUCUUGGGAAAAAAAAAAAAGUUCUGGAAGAAACUCUGGGACAUACAUAUGGGUAUAUGGGUCCAUGUGUUCAUACCCAUGAGCAUGGGUACCCCCUUGCUCCCCAUCCCAGCACCUCUCCUUGCCCACCUCUGUCUCACUGCCUUUGUUUAUUCGCCUGUGGUCACUGUGGACUCUGCUAGACCCUGAGCCUGUGAGGGCAGCGGCUGUCUUCCUGUUCCCUGCACACCAGCACGUGACUCGAGCACAGGCAGGAGGAAGGCGGAUGGAAACACAGGCGCAGCCCAGGGCUGUUCCACCCUGUGUUCAGUCCCUUCCCUCCUUGGGCCUCUGUUUCUCAUCUCUGCAUAUGGGGUAAAAUGCCCCAUCCUUAGUCCGGGCUCAGGUGAGCCGCUGGGUUCCUACUGGGCCAUGGGAAGGGCCCUAAUACCUGAAGGGCAGGGAGGAUGAGGGCAGGCAGCUCAGCUGCCCUCCCUCCAUCCUGGGGCCUGCCACCUCCCCUCUGUCUUCUCCUGAUUCCGGUUCCCCACCAGGAAGGGCUCACUGUCCUGCUCAGCAAGUUCUCUCAACAAGCUGGGCAGCCAGGGGGGGGUGCUCUGCUGGACUGGAGGAGCCGAUGUGAGCCCAGGCCACCCAUGGAGGCUCCCUCUGAAGAGAGGGAACAGACAACCCAGCCACUUGUCAGGAACCCCGAUCAAAUACCCCACCCCCAAGGCUCAGCACUAAGUGUCCCAGGGGCCUGAUUUGCAGGAAGGGCAGCAGGAUGCUCACUUGGGGGUGGAACACUCACCUGAGGGAGGAACUGUACCUGCCGAGGCUUGGAUUACCCACAAACUCAGCCCAGCAGGAGCCCGCUGGCUGUGCUAACAAUGUCCUCUGUGACGUUGCUGAGAUUCUGCAAGGUUCUUUCAGUGUUAGCCCAUUUUACAGAGGAGAAAGUUGAGGCUCCAGACAGAUGUGAGCUUAAGCCUCUGGCCCAGUUCAAGUUUCCAAAUAUUCCAGAGGCCAGGGCCUGGGGCGGGGUGUGGGGCACCCCAAAGUCCAGGUGAGGGUGACCUGAGGGUGAAGUCUGGGUCUGGAGAGGCAAUAGAGGGAGUGAGGACGGCUCCUGCCAGAAACAGGGGAGGGGUGUUUGAGACCUUGAAGGAGGUGGGACUGUGACAGUGGUGACUGUGGGAGGAGUCCGGGUCCAAGCAACAACUGGGAGAGACUUGGUGCAGGGCCCUGAGCUGAAAUGGAGGAAAACGGAGCUGGGUGGGUCCCUGCCCUCAAUGGGGGGUAAAUGCUGAGGCUGGGGGCACGAGCCCAGAGGAGGGCACCAGGGCAGCCCAGACAUGAGCUCUGUGGUCUGUGUGUGUUUACUGUGUGGCCAGAGCGUGUGAGGAGUGUGUGGAACCGUCUGUGUGAUGUGGGAGUAGGGGGAUAAGUGUAUUGGCAUAUGGAGUGGGAGUGUGUAUGUGUGCACGCAUGCACCUUUGUGCCUGUGAUCUGCGUCAUGCAGUGUGUCUGUGCCUGUGUGGGAUGUGGUCCCUGUGAUGUGGGGCGUGUAUGUCGGUGUGUGUGUGUGUUGUGGGGUAGUGCUAACCGGGACACUCUCCAGGGGAAGAUCCUAGCUCGGAUGGAGGUGGAGGAGUUAACCAGGAGAAUGGGAGAGGGACCAGCACGUGCAAAGGCCUGGAGGCAUGAAGAUGGAGCCUGGAGCACUGGAGGACUUGAAAGUGGUCCAGUGAGGCUGGGAGUAGGGAGGGAGAGGCAGGGGCUGGGAGGGACAGGGCAGGCCUUCCUCCACCAGUUUGAAUUCCGUUAGCUUGAGGGUGUGUACAGCCAGGAGGGGUGGAGGGGCUGAGAGGAGGCCGAGCCACCACUGACCAGGUGGAGGGGUAGGGGGUGAGCCUGGACCGGGGCAGGUGCUGGGUGGAGGUGGGGGAGUGAGAGCCAGAGCUCUCAACCAAGCCUCUGGGAGGCCGCAGGGCCUGGGAUCGCAGACCCGAGCCUAAUCCCUGCUCAGCCCAAGAGCUGUAGCCAGAAGGUUCUUAGUUUCCCCUCAGUAAACUGAGGUUCAGGACAUUUCUGGGGCACUUGCUCUGUGUGACUGGGCAAGGGCUGGGCAGGCAUUUCCAGCAUGAACACGCUUUCCCAGGCCCACUGGUUGGAGGGCACCGAGGGGAGAAGGGGGACAGAGGAAAGGAGCCGGAAGCAGGAUCCAGAAUUUGAACCUAGGUGGUCUGACUCCAAGAGGGCCCUCUCUCUCACUUGACUUCAAUAGUGACAUUAGCCAACUUCAAUAGUGACCCCAGGCGCGGUGGCUCACGCCUGUAAUCCCAGCACUUUGGGAGGCCGAGACGGGUGGAUCAUGAGGUCAGGAGAUGAGACCAUUCUGGCUAACACGGUGAAACCCCGUCCCUACUAAAAAUACAAAUAAUUAGCCGGGUGUGGCUGCGGGUGCCUGUAGUCCCAGCUACUCGGGAGGCUGAGGCAGGAGAAUGGCGUGAACCCGGUAGGCGGAGCUUGCAGUGAGCCGAGAUCGCGCCACUGCACUCCAGCCUGGGGAAAGAGCGAGACUCCGUCUCAAAAAGAAAAAAAAAAAAAUUGACCCCAGUAGUGACAACAGUGACUCACCUGCCCCAUGGGCUUCCAACUGCGAUGGUUGUGCUCUCCUUUGACCCUGUAUCCUGGGGGACUGCAUACGGUAAUUAUAUUGUUACUGCGCCUUUUUAGAGAUGAGAAAACUGUGGUCAGUAGCAGAGUGGCCUGACCAGGGCUCCAACUCCCCCGUCCUACUGCAGAUGAUGUGGGGCAGUUUUCUUAGCACAGGCUGGAAAGCUCUCUUAGGUAACACGUGGAUGACAGCGUGUGACCCGGCAGAAAAGAAUUGUAAUUCCGGGUGGCUGUACGACCUUGGACGGUCCUUUUGCCAUCUCUGGGCCUCGAUUUACCCAACUGUACAAUUCGCCCCGUGAGUCUAGGAAGAUUUGCUGAGCGUCUGCCAACUGGCAGAUGAGGAACCGAAGUUCAGAGAGUUGAAAGCACUUGCCCCAGGUCAGGCGGCCGGCUUCGAAGCCGGAUUCCGAAGGCGUGCCCUGCCCUCGGCCCCCAGCGGUGUCGUCCUGCCCCCAGGGGGCCGCGAUGCGGGGCCGUUCCAGGCCCUGCCAGCCUGACGUCAAGCCCGGCCGGCGGGGCCUCGCUCUGCACAAACAGACGCCGCAGGCCAGCGUCGGGGCCGGGGGCGGCGAUGACUCAGGGCCCCGAGACGGGCCGGGAAGCGGAAAGUUGUGUGCAGAUGACAUCAGCCGGCCGCGAGGGCGGGAGGGGGCCGGCUCCGGGAAACGGCGGCCUGGCGGGCGGCCCGGGGCAGGGCGUGGAGAGGCGGCCGCGGGGCGGGGGCGGGGACGCCGGGACGGGACGCUCGGGACCACGAAAAAUGUCCCCACUCCCGCCCGCCCCGGACCCAGGCCCCGGAGCCCGGCCCCGCUUUUCGCCGGCGAGGAGCGGGCUUCACCCGCCUGCAAAGACUCCGCGCUCCCCCGCGCUCCGGAGGCAGCCGCAUCCAUCCUGCUGCGUCCCUGCAUUUUAAUUACCGCCGUAUUAAUAUUCAUGAGCCGGGACUCGAGGGGGACCGCGGGCUGUCAUUUCCCUCGCCCGCCCUUCCCCCACCGCACCCCUCUUCCCGGGCUGAGUCGUGGGCUUUUUUCCUCCCGUUCUCAACCCCGCUCGCACCAACCGUUGGUGCGCAGCAGAUUUGGGGGAGGGGGGUUGGUGUGAGUGUGAGCAUGAGUGUGAGCGAGUGUGAGUGGGGAGGGGCCGAGUGUGAGUCUGUGCCUGUGUCUGUAUGCCUGUGUGUACGUGCCUAUGUGUGCCUGUGUGUCUGUCGGCAAUCCCAGGGCCGUGUGUGCACAUGUCUCUGAUGUCUCUGUGGGGCUUGGAGAAGGGCCAAAGUCUGUCCAAGUUAGCAGGGCCUGACUGUACAAAUGGGGAAACUAAGGCCUGGAGAAAGGCUGGGCCUUGUCCAAAGCCACCCCAUAGGUCAGUAGCACAGGGAAGCCAGAGCCCAGGGUCUUGCGUUUGGCCGACUCUGCUCCCCGACUCUCCCGUGCUGUUGUUUGUAACAAUGGCAGACAGGAUGUGCUGAGCCGGCACCUCUCAUAUGGCCUUCCCAGCAAACCUGUGCAGCACGUGGUCCUAUCCGUCCCCCGUGCACAUAGGGAAACUGAGGCAACUGGUCCAGCCAGUGAGGGGUGGACUGGAGCCCAGAAGUGUCUGAAUCCCAAGUCCCUGGGUUUAACGGCCCCACUGUGAUGCCUCCUGGGGAAUUGUGGAGUGUCCUCACUGGGGUGAUCCGGGGGUACCUGGAAGUUCCUGGGUGCCCGGGCAUCAGGGGGGUGUUUCCCCAGAAACACAGCCCACAUUCUGUUUCCCUCCCAAGUCAGUCAUCAGAUGAGGCUGCCUUCCUGUGGCUCUCCCAGUCCCUCUCUGUCCUCUCCCCAUCCCUGAAGCCUCCCAGGAGCUGCCCUGCACACCAGGCCUUCCUCCCUGGGCCUGAGGUCAGGCAAUCACUCAUUCAUUCAUCCAACAAAUGCUUCAGUGCCAGUCACUGUGCUAGGCACUGGGGAUUCUCUGCUCCCUACUCUGGUCAUCUCUACCUGGCCUAGGAGCCUCCAGGCCCACAAGGGGGCUGUUCACCUCUGUGUGUGAAUGCUCACUAGUGGUGGGGGACUAGGGGCACCUGUGCACAAAAGACAGCUCUCACCCAGCCUUGCCACAGAGGUCUGGGGUGCCCACAUAUUCAGUGGCCAGAAAGGGGCUGCGAUCAUCUUAGGGCUGAUGGGGCGGUGGCCACACUAGGCAGCCUGAAUCUUUGAUUCUCUCUCCUGCAACUUGUCCUCCUCUGACUGCCAAGCCAAAUAACCCCAGGGGCUGGUCAGCCUGCCUUACCCCGGGUUGAGCCAAGGCCGUCCUCCCUCUCACGUCCAGCCUAGAAUAGAUGGACUGUUCCCUCCUCUCUGCCCACGCAGGGCUGGGCUGGAAGUUGUGUCCCAGCCAUGUCCCCUGAGCCUUUUCUCCCCUCCCUUUGGGAGCUCCGCAGGAACACAGAGAAGAGGACAGGGGUGCAGCCAGAGGACUCGGGAGAGGAAGCGAUAAUUUAAUUGGGCUUCACGGGCUAAAUAGGAGUUUGCCUAGGAGAGGCGGCCCAAGGACAGGGGACUAGCUCAGAGGGGUGCCUACCUGCAGCCCCCAUUCUAUAACAGGAACCAGAGCAGGCCAAAGGCAAGAGACCUGGGGAGACUGGGAGGACGGAUUUUCUCCUAAAGGGCCCCAGGCAGUACAGCCUAGUGGUCCAUCCGCACUCUUGGGUGGGUCCAUCCUGGGUGAGAAUUCCCCCUCCCUCCUCACUGUGAGGGCCUCUAUUUCCUGAUCUGCAAAACUGGGAAAAUAACAUUUUUUUUUCAGGUUUAUAUUCAGAUCAAGAGACACUGCCUGUACAGCACCUAGCACGGUGGCUGGGGCUCUGUCAUAGGGUGAUGUGUCCUCACGGACGUAGGGAGGCCUCUGGAAUCACUGUCCCCAUUUGGCCCAGAAUGGGAUUUAAGGAUCAGUCUGUGUCCCACAGUCUAACCCAUGGAGUGGAGUUUGGUAGGGACAGACUGCUGGGAGGAGGGGGAACAGCCUGAAACUGUCAUGGGUCAGGCAAGGCUCAGGCUCUAGGUAAGAGAGGGAUCUCAGAGGCCGCACCGCCCUGCCUGCUGGGCUCCUUGUAGACCUGCCAGAUGGCCCAUCACCCAAACAGCCAGACCUGCAGUGAGAGGGGCAGCCUGGCCCGCCAGCUCUGGGCUCCCUCCUGCUGCCUGUGUCUCUUUGCCUCCUGGCUCCCCUCUGUCUUUUGAAAAUGUCCUCCCUUCUUUUGUUAGAAUAGUCAUACCUAUACAGGGCAAACACACACACACACACACACACACACACACACACACACACAGACAAAAAAACACAAAACCAUUUUUUUUAAAGGAAGCAUUGUAAAAGUUCAUGCAGUACAUCCUGACGCUGUCAUUCUAGGUUUCGUGUACAUUUCUGGGACAUUUCUCUGCUUAUGGAGCUGUCUUUGUAAAACUUCCAUAGGAUGACAUCCACCUCUGCUCAAAGGCCUUCGAUGGCUCCCCAUUUUUAUAAAGCAAGGUAGCUUCCUCCAGCCUUUGCAGGCUGGCCCAGGCUCGGCAACACCAUUCUCCUUCCCCUCCCCAUUACCCUCCCUGACGCUGGGCUGCGGGCCCUUCCUCAGAGCAUGGCCUCCUCUCCUGCCACCAUGCCUUUGGCUUUGCUGUGCCAACCUCUGGGAAUGGCCCAGUGCCCUCCACUGAGAUUUCUCAAGAGCAGCCUUUGCUGUCCCCUGGCCUCUGUGCCUCCCCCACCAGCUCUCCUCCCUCCCCAUCCCCUACACCAAAACCCACCUCUCUCUCUCCCGGUGCCCUCAGCUCUGGUGGACGCCUCUAGGGUGCUGCUUUUCACAUCUAACUCUCAGGAGCGCCUCCUCCAAGUCUUGUGUCCCCACUCGGCUAUGAGCAUCUCAAAGGCUGGGGUCCUGGCAUCUUCGUUUUUGUUGCCACCUACCUUGAUGCCCUGCACACAGUAGGGACUUUAAAAUGUUAUAUUAAAAAAAUUAAAGUUGCUUUUUCUCUUUUUCCUUCUUUCUUUCUUUCCUUUUUUCUUCCUCUCUCUCUCUCUCUUUUUUUUUUUUUUUUUUUUUUUUUGGCGGAGUCUCAUCCUGCUGUCCAGGCUGUAUGGAGUGCAGGGGCGCGAUCACGGUUCACUGCAGCCUUGACCUCCCCAGGCUCAGGUGAUCCUCCCACCUCAGCCUCCUGAGUAGCUGGGACUACAGGCGCGCUCCAUCAGGCCGGGCUAAUUUUUGUAUUUUUGUAGAGAUGAGGUUUCGCCACGUUGUCCAGGCUGGUCUCAAACUCCUGGGCUCAAGUGAGCCUCCAGCCUCAGCCUACCAAACUGCUGGGAUUACAGGCGUGAGCCACUACACCCUGCCUGCUUUUUCUUUAGGGAUUCAGGCUCUAAGCCAACAAAUGAUGGUUUGAAUCGUGACUCUAUCAUUUCCUAGCUGUGUGUCCUUGAGAAAGUGAAUCAACCUCUCUGAGCCUCAGUUACCUCAUCUGGAAAAGAAAGUUAAUAAUAAAAUCUCCCUCCACGAGUAACAGUGAUUAACAGUGCAUGUAAAACAUCUAGCACCGGCCCAGGGCAGAGAGUAGCCAGCAAGCUCUAAUGUUACUCCGUUUUGUCUUAUUCAGUCUCAUUCAGACUUGUCCAAAGUCACCUGUCCAAUUUUGGGCAGUGCUGGGACGCUCCCCCUGUCUCUUCCCCCUCCAAUGCUACUUCCCUGUAGUGGGAGAGGGUCCCAGGCCAUCAUCUCUGUUUUGCAGAGGAGAACCAGGUUCAGAGAGGCCGAGUUGCUCACCCGGGAUCACACAGCCCUGAGAACAAGGCAAGGGUCUGCCUGUUUGCUAAGUUCCAUGUGAGUUCUUUAGGUUGCUCAGGAUAAGGAUGGCCUCAAUGAGACCCACCGUCCUGACAGAGGGGCUCGUACUCUUGUGGCCAAGAACUGGCAAGGUGGGCUCCUCGGGGGCCAGGGAGCCACCGCAAGUGCUAUUAAGUGGAACAUCACUAAGACAAACAGCCCGCAUUUCCUGGGUGCUUUCCCCAGGGCAGGGAGCUGUGUCAAGUGUUCAUGGGCACAGUCUCCUUCCAUCCUCACAGCAACCCUAUUAUCCUGCAUUCCAAGGAUGGGUGCUCCCUCAGAUCCCAGGCUCCACCCCCCAACGCCCCCAACCCAAGUUGGGGGUGCUGCUUGGGUCUCAUAGAACAUCUUGGGGUCCCUCCCCAGCCCUGGCCCCACAGAGCCGACCCAGCUGCGUCUCUGAGCCGCACCCAAAAUCUUCCCAGCUUUGCCAGGGAGACUGGAAAUUUCUGCUCAGCAGCUUCGUCUGGGAUGAUUUCGACACUUGGCUCGAUGGGGUCGAGAGGAGGAGCCAGGCCGCUCAGCCGCUCAACAUUCUGGAGCUCCCCUUGGGUCACCGGGAGGGGGGCUUUGCUAGGCGUAGAUGAGCCCCUCCGAAAUGGUAAAAUCAAGCAACAGUGACCAAGUACCGAGCGCUUACCGUGUGCUGGGCCCUGUGCCAAGUCAGGACUUGCUGGGCCUCACGGAACCUUCCGGCGCCCGGGCAAGGCCAGCACUGUUACCAACUGUCUCGCGGACUGCUCCUAACUGGGGGCUCUGUUAGCAUCCAGGAGUCUCCUCCUCGGAUACUCUGAGUACCCCCUCCAGAGACCCCAGGCACCGGAUUCUCUGUACGGGGCCGCUGACGUGCCCAGCCCUGGUGAACCCACCCUUCCAGACACUUCCACCCACGCCCGGCCCUGGGGCUGGGGGCGUCGGGCAGAGCGCCGGUGAAAUUCUGCCAGUGGCUAAGGCGCCUACUGUGCCCCUGGCUCUGCGAGGGUCGGGGGACUGUCACCAGGCCCAAAGUCGCCAGGGAGGAGGGGCGUGAAUGACGAAGCUCAGAUCCGGGCAAAGGAUCGGAGAGGUGAUUAGACACCCCGGGCAGGCAGCGGAGGCCGGCCCUGCUGAGCGACCCCCGUUAGCGACGACCCUCAGGGGCUCAGGCUCCACGCCCAUUAACUGGGUAUCAGUCCCUUCCAUCCCGGGGAGCCGAGCUCCUGGGAAGCAGCGCCUGGGGGCGCCGGCGACCGGCUGGGGCCGCCUCCCUGCUCCCCCGCCCUGGGCCCGAUCGCCGGGCGCGAGGCGUGCAGGGCGCGGCGCGGGCCCGGGCGCCCAGUUCAGCGGAAAGGAAUGCCUUGCUCGGCGGGGGAGGCCGUGGCCCCGAGGCCGUGUCCACCCCCGCCCGCCCCGGGCCUCAUUUACUGCGGCUCUGAAGCCCGGCCCGUUUCGCCCGCCGGGCCCCGCGGGGUGACUCCCCCCACGAUUGCGGUCCCCCGCCCUCCGCCCGGCCGCCGCUGGCGGACCCCAAAGUCGGGGCGAGUCUCCAAACCGGGGAGCCGGCCCCGCCCCCACGCCGCGGCGGCGCCCUCCCUUCCCCCUCCCCGCCGCCCGCCUCUCCCCCUCCCCCCUCCAUAACUCAAAAGCCUGUCAAGCUGGUUCCAGACUCCUGGCGCCGGGCUCCGCUCCAGGAAAGAAAAAAAGGAAAGAGAAAAAGGGAAAAAGCCGGCGCGAGGGAGCGAGAGAGGCCCGCGGAGCAAAACCGUGCGCCCCGGCACGCACAGCCCCGCGGCCCCCGACCCCCCACGCCCCUAACCCUAACGGGGAUCCCAGUCCUAGGGACACCGGGCGCGUGCGCGACCCCAAUCAGUUAUUUAUGGGCGAAUUAAUUAUGUAGCUGCCAUGGGCGGGGGGGCCGGCAGGGGCCAUGCGACGCGGAGACCACCCGGCCGCGGUGGCGGCUCUCCUGCCGGGCCUCGGGGUCGGGAGGCGUCCCCACGCCGCCCGGGGAGGAUCCCGUUGUGAGAAAGCUGCCUCGGGGUGGGGUCCGGGAGGAGCGCGGGGGAACCUGAGGAAGCGGGAGAGACGGCUCGGAGACCUCCCAAUUAGACUGGGAGGGGAGAGGGGGGCGGGCGACGGAGCUGGAAAGAGCGGGCCGCGGAGACCGGGGCGUGGGAAGAGCCUGGCCUAGGCAUUUCUUCCCUUCCUUCCUUCCUUCAUCCCCAUCCUUACUGCGAGCCCACUACGUGCCACUGCGCCCACAGCAGAGGGCGGUAUUAGGGAGGGGUUAGGAGCAGGAAGGAAUUUCGAGGUACAGCUGGGUCCAAAUCCGGAUUUGUAUCCUAUACUCCCCUGCUGUGUGGCCUUAGGCAACGGCUUGCCCUCUCGGAGCCUCCACUUCCUCAUCUGCCAGUGGUCUUCAGGACUUGGGAGAUGGGGCGCUUGGGCAGAGAGUUUGUGGGGGCGCGGUCGAAGGGAGGUCCUGUCCUUGGGAAACUUUACAUAGAGGGGAACAUGCCCAGUCCCCCAGUAUUCCCCAUCUCGAAGCCCCGACUUUGGGUCUCAUAUAAUCUGCCUCUCCCCGGGGCCCACACAUUUGAAGGUCGUUAUUAAAACCACACCACCCCCAAGGCCACUGCUCAGGACGCUCACCCCUAGCUGGCUUCUCACCAGCCUGGCCCUGCAGAAGGUCGUGCAUAUGGCAGCCAGAGGGGCUCAAUCUAGUCCUUUUACUCCCCACCUCCGCUGCCUCCCCCGACUCUGCCCUUCACAUCCCCACCUGGGUUCUCCUUCCAACCUGCUUCUAGUCUGGGCUAGGGAGAUUGGAGCCCUGAGGCCAUGGGGGCUACGGGGCAGUGAGAACAGGGGUGGGGGCUCAGCUGGCCCUCCCUGGACAAGUGUCCCCCUUAUCUGGAGUGUCAAGGCGUUCUACUUCCAAGACUCAGAAGUGAAGGAGGCUUCCGUUUGCGACCCAGGAUUGCCUAGGGGUUUGCCUGUCUUCUUUCACCAAAACUUGCAAUAACUCUGUUAGGUGAAUGGGGCAGAUCCAGGUUUUAUGGGGCCUGAAGGUUUUACAAUCCUGGGGACCCACUUGAAGAAGAAUAGUGCAAAGUUAUGAAUAGGCGGUUAAGCUCAGGGCCUUGGUAAAUGACAGUCCCAGGAGCUAAAGCUUCAUUAGCCCCUCGGUAACUCACCUCUGUAGAUGGACAACACAACUGUCAUCCCUUUGCAGAGGUGGAAACAAAGCUUAGGCUGGCCCAAGGUCACAACAGGUAGAAAGGACAAGCUGGGAUCAAACCCAGGUCCCACCCCACAGGCAGCACCCUGAACUAACUGCCUCAGUAGGAAUGCCACCUUCCAUAUCAUCUACCCCAUGCCACAUCUCACCUGUCCCCACCAGUGCCCAGCCCAGGCAGGGUCAGUCAGAACAGCCUUUGCUUCCAGAACAGUCUGUGUCCCUCCCUCCAGAGGCCUCCAUGUCCCAAGGCUCAAGCCUCAGAGAUACUGUCUUGUGACAACACUCACAGAUCUAGUAAGUAGGUCUCUUCUAAACUUUUGAUUCCAGCAAUGGUAACCUGCUCACUCCAGAACUCCAGCUCCCCCGUCCACCUGGAGGGAGCGCACCCCUGUUCCCCGGUGGGCUCCCUGGUGUUCGGGGCUGGAUCUGUUUUAUUUGGCUCAGUAUUCCCCGCUCUUGACGCAGUACAGACAUACAGCCGACAGAGUGACUGUAGCAGUAACAUCUAUUCCCAACCUCGUGGAACAGGAUGUUGUUAAACUGCGGAUUCCCGGGCCCCCCUCAGAUUCUACUGAAUCAGACUCUCUGUGCACAGGGCCGGGGACUUGGCAUUUUACAAGCUCUUUUGGGUGCAUCUUAACCAUAGUAAAGUUCGAGACCACGGACCUACGGCCAGAAAGGACCAAAUGGUUGUGUCUAGACCAAGGCCUUCUCACCAGGGGGAGUUAUCUCCCCUAAAUCCGACCGAUUUCACCAGUUCCCCAGGCUCUUCUGGCUGAGAUCAAAUUAUUUCACUUAUCAGGCCAGGCACAGUGGGUCAUGCCUGUAAUUCCAGCACUUUGGGAGGCUGAGGUGGGUGUGUCACUUGAGGUCAGGAGUUCAAGACUAGUCUGGCCAACAUGGCAAAACCCCGUCUCUACUAAAAACACAAAAAUUAGCUGGGUGUGGUGGUGGGCGCCUGUAAUCCCAGCUACUCAGGAGGCUGAGGCAUGAGAAUCGCUUGAACCCGGGAGGUGGAGGUUGCAGUGAGCCAAGGUCGUGCCACUGCACCCCAGCCUGGGUGACAGAGCAAGACUCAAAAACAGCAACAAAAAUUAUUUCAUGUAUCAAAGACCUACUGCCUGCCCGGGACUGGGUCUGAGGCCUUAGAGAAUUGACCUCAUAGGAUACUCGCAAAAGCUCUGAGAAGUAGGGAGAAUUAUUGUCCCCAUUUUACAGAUGGAAUCUGAGGCCUGGAGAAGCAAAGUGGCUUUGUGGAAGGGAUACGGUGCUGGGGAAUGAGGAGGCUGGGAUGGGAGCUGAACUCACACCCUUAACUCCUUCCUUCCACUGCCCACAAGGCCACUGAUCCGAGGGCUGUAACUCGCAAGGGUCCUUCAGUAACAUCCGGAGAUGAGAGUUUACACACCAGCCUGUGAGCGGCUUUGAGAAAUUAAACACGCUACAGAGUCACUACAGGGACCUCAUGCUAAGACGCGCAACAAAAUUAGGCGACAGGCCCCAAAGAAAUCUAAUCAAGUAGGCCUCUUCUCCUCCGUAUCUUUGGAGUCGGUGUUCAGGGGAAUGUGUGUUUGCGGAAGGAUUUGAUGUAUUUGCUUCAGGCAAAUCUUUGCCUUUUUCUCUGCCUGCAGUUCUGUGCUAGGCAGCAAGAAAGCUCCACAGCUGGUGGCCAGUGCUGCAGGCCAGCGUGGCUCCCUGGGCUUCUCUGUAGGGCUGUGUUAUCACGCUUCCCCGGGUCCGGUGCUCUGUGCAAACGUAGCCUCUUUCCUGCUCCAGGAUGGGCAAGGCACAGGGGAGGUUUCAGGUGGAGAGAAAUUGAUUUAGUGGCCACUGCUUCUGAGGCUGGAGGACCUGCCUGAGGCAGAGGGUGUGGACUUGUUCUGGGAGGACCCAGAAGGCAGAACCACGGAAGGCUACCAAGGGAGGUAGGUUUUGCCUCAAGAUGAACUAUCCAAUAGUCAGGGCAGCUGUGUAGGUAGUGAGUGCCCCACCUGGGGAGGUAGUCAAGGACAGGCAGGGAUAGAGAGUGGUGUGUCUAGGAGUACAGAGCCAUGCCUCAGGAGAAGAAGUGGCUGAAGACACUUUGAGGUCUUUUGAAACUCUGGGAAUUUCCAUAUCUAACAUUACUGACCAGCCCAUGUGGGACUGAGGGGAUAAAUUAAGGAAGGGAAGGGGCAGGUUAUGAUGGCCAGACUGGGAACCACAGACCCCCAGGGAGACAGAAGCAGGCUCCUAGCCCUUGGUCUUCCAACAAAACUACUGUUUCUCUCUCUCCCCUCCCUUCCUUUCUUCCUUCCUUCUUUCCUUCCUUCUCUCUCUCAUCACCCUCUCCUUCCCUCCUUCCCUCUCUCCCUUCCUCCCCCACUCCCUCCCUGUCUCUCUUUCCUUUUCUUUUCUUUCUUCCGACAGGGUCUUGCUCUGUCGCCCAGGCUGGAGUGCAGUUGUGUGGUCACAGCUCACUGCAGCCUCAACCACCCAGGCUCAAGCAAUCCUCCCACCUCAGCCUCCUGAGUAGCCGUGGUGAGACUACAGGUGCACUCCAUCAUGACUGGCUAAUUUUUGUAUUUUUUGUAGAGACAGGGUUUUGCCAUGUUGCCCAGGCUGGUCUCAAACUCUUGGGCUCAAAUCUUCCUUCCACCUUGGCCUCCCAAAGUGCCGGGAUUACAGGUGUGAACCACCACACCUGGCCUCACUCUCAUGACCCCUCAUGGGGUCUUGCCAUGUUACCCAGGCAGGUCUUGAACACAAGCGAUCCUCCUGACUCAGCCUCCCUAAGUGUUGGAAUUGCAGACCUGAGCCACCGUGCCCGGCGCACUAUUGUUUCUUGAAAUUCAAAUACGCUUCUUUCUUUUUCAGUCAUUUGUAAAUGUCUGGUAACCUUUCAUAAUGUUAUUAAUAAUAAUAUUUCUAAUAACUGGUAAUCAAUAACUGUACUCUCUGUAGCAUUAACUGCAUGCUUACUGAGAAAGGAUGUACUCUAGUCCAGGCAUGGUGGCUCACGCCUGUCAUUCCAGCACUUUGGGAGGCCGAGGUGGGUGGAUCACUUGAGGUCAGGAGUUUGAGACCAGCCUGGUCAACAUGGUGAAACCCCAUCUCUACUAAAAAUAUAAAAAUUAGCCGAGUGUGGUGGCACGUGCCUAUAAUCUCAGCUAUUCGAGAGGAUGAGGCAUGAGAAUCGCUUGAACGUGAGACGCGGAGGUUUCAGUGAGCUGAGAUCAUGCCACUGCACUCCAGCCUGGGUGACAGAGCCAGAAGCUGUCUCAAAAACAACAACAACAAAAACAAAAACAACAAAGAAAGGAAGGAAAGGAGAGGGAGAGGAAAAAGGAAAGAAAGGCUAUAUUCUAAGUGCUUAUGUGUAUAAAUGUGUGUAAUUGACAUGGCAGUCCUAUGAGAAGGGUGUUUAUUUGUGCUAUCACUCUUGUUUUAGAGAUGAGGACACUGAGGCUCAGAGGGCUGACAUGCCAAGCCCCAGGGCACAGGAAGGCAGGCCUCUGCUUCCACCUCACAUCCCCCAGUGCCUCUGGAAACCGCAGCCUGUGGAGGGCCUGAGGUCGCUUAUCACCUGUCUCUGCAGCUCAUCCUCAGCAAAGACUGAGGGUCCUUGAUGCUGUCCGGGUCCUUGAUGCUGUCCCCAUCUUUAUGCCAGGUCUCAUCUCAGAGGCAGGCUCAGGAAGGGAGCUGGGAGAUGCCGGCAGAGGGCCCAGGAGAGGCACACUGCCCACCAGCUAGGAGCUGCUUCUGACCUCGCUGGCCGAUGGCCGGGGACCCUGGCCCCUCCCAACCCCAGGGACACAAAGCAGAAGAUCCCAGAAUGGGGAUGGGGAGAGAGGACCAUCUUGUUCAACUUCCUCAUUCUAUACCAGGAAAACAGGCAUCGGAGAAGGGAAGAGAUACCUCAAGGUCAACGCCAAGUCCAGCAGCUGCUGCUCUCCUGAGUCCUCCACGUGGACUUCUUCUGCGUUCCCACAUCUCAUUCCUCCAAUUUUUUUUUAAAAAUUGUUAGUAGUAGCAUAAUACUAAGAAAGCACUAUUCAAAGGAACAAGAAGACCCACCGUGUGCGGAACGGUCACUGUGCACCAGGCAACGUGACCCGCAAUUUUCUCUCCUAUAAAACGGGGAUGAGAACAGGGCCUCCCCUGCUGACUCAUGGGAAGAGGUUAAGAUCAAAGGUGACAGUGGACAUGAAUCAGCAUUUUAUAAACCACAAGACAUUGUCACCAUGGCUAUCUUUGGUUUUUAUUAUUUAUUUUUUAAUUUUUUAAUUUUUAUUUUUUGAGAGCAGGGUCUCACUCUGUUACCCAGGCUGCAGUGCAGUGGUGCAAUCAUGGCUCUCUGCAGGCUCAAAUCCUGGGCUCAAGCAAUCCUCCACUCAGCCUCCUGAGUAGGUGGGACUAUAGGUGUGUGCCACCUUGCUAUUAAAUUACCUGGCUAUGGCCGGGCACAGUGGCUCACACCUGUAAUCCCAACACUUUGGGAGGCUGAGGCGGGUGGAUCACUUGAGGUCAGGAGUUCAAGACCAGCCUGGCCAACCCCGUCUCUACUGAAAAUACAAAAAUUAGCUGGGCAUGGUGGCACAUGCCUGUAAUCUCAGCUGCUAGAGAGGCUGAGACACAAGAAUUGCUUGAACUUGGGAGGCAGAGGUUGCAGUGGGUCGAGAUUGCCCCACUGCACUCCAGCCUGGGUGACAGAGCGGGACCCUGUCUCCAAAACAAAAAAUAAAAUAAAUAAAUAAAUAAAUAAAUUACCUAGUUAACUGAAAAAAAUUUUUUGUGAAGACGGUCUCAGCCGGGCGUGGUGGUUCAUGCCUGUAAUCCCAGCACUUUGAGAGGCUGAGGCGGGUGGAUCACCUGACGUCAGGAGUUCGAGCCAGCCUGACCAACAUGGUGAAACCCCGUCUCUACUAAAAAUACAAAAAUUAGCUGGGCAUGGUGGCGGGCGCCUGUAAUCCCAGCUACUUGAGAGGCUGAGGCAGGAUAAUCGCUUGAACCCUGGAGGCUGAGGUUGCAGCCGAGAUCGCACCUCUGCACUCCACCCUGGGCAACAAGAGUGAAACUCUGUCUCAAAAAAAAAAGACAGGGUCUCAAGUAUGUUGCUCAGGCUGGUCUUGAACUCAAGCAAUCUGGCUUGGCCUCCCAAAGUGCUCGGACUACAGGCAUGAGCCACCUUGCCCAGCCCCGUGGUUAGCUUUGAAUCCUGGGCAUAGAAGCUAGAAGUAAGCUCCUACCAGGGAAACCAGGUGACAUUUAGGGCCCAGAAACAAUCAGUUCUUCCAGGUUAGAUCCUCCCUCGGAAAGCACAUAGGGCCAUUUACUCAUUUGCUCAUGGUCCACCUGAAAAUCCUGCGUACAGCACCUGCUAUGUGCAGCAGCUCAGCCCCGAGGCUUUGAAUGUAGGUUCUGGACCGAGCCCUCUCAGGGUUGGGUUCAAGUCUUGGCUUUACCACUUCCCAGCUAACCAUAGUCUUCCUUCUCGAAGGCUCGGGGUCUGGGUUAGGAUGCUGGCCCAGCUGCUGUAGCAGAACCUGAGUAACAGUGGCUACAGGAGACAGGAGCUGAUUUCUCUCAUUUCAGAGGUUUUCCUCCUUUCAGUCUAGGGGAUGGGAGGCUGCCCUGGGAGCCGGUCCAGGGCCCAGGCUCCUUCUAUCUCUCUCAUCCCUGGAGGAUUGCUUCUGUCCACAAGCUUGAAGAUGGCUGCCCCUCUCCCUCCCCAUUCUCUGUGAGUGUGUGUUUGGGGAACCAAAGGGGUGGAAGCUACCAAUUUCUUUUACUGGCUGGCAGGAAGGUGCAUAGCUCAUUGCUUGUGUUUCAUUGGCCAGAGCUGAUCAUAUGACCACACCUAGCUGCAAGGGAGGCUGGGAAAGGUAAUACUUAGCCUGGCAGUCAUGUGCCUCAUUACAACCUGGGAGAGGGCCAUUCUGUUACCAAAGGGGAGGUGGCAAAAUGGGUACUGGGCAACAGCCAGCAGCACAGCAUGUGUCCCACAGGAUUCAUGGAGAUCUUUCGGGAAGCACCUAGCACAGGCCAGGUGCGUGGAGGGUGCUCAGGGAACAGGAGCUGGUGUUGAUGUUGCAGGUGAGUGCCUGCACUUUCCCAAGGGAGGCUGCAAGCCAAGCCCUGGAACUGCUCUGGCUGCUUUUUUGGGGGUCUCCACCCCACGCCCCACACCCUCUAGGUGAUGAGGAGAAGCACCAAGAAACAGCAACUCCCAGCCCGUCCUCUCGGGGCCUCACAGCCCAGUGUAGCGAAGACCUCAGAGUUCUGCCCUCCUUUCAAAGAAAGAACAGGAAAGCAGCCUUGUCUUCAGGGCUUGUAGCCCAGGAAGAGACAAGAGUGACAUUGGGGGCCUUGCACCCUCACCCCACGGCUGCCUCCAGGGACCAUGGCAACAUCUGCCUCCAGUGGGGAGUGGUGGGGUUCUUCCUGGAGGCUCAGGCAGGCGUCUGUGUUCCACCCCUUCCUAAGGCAGUGCCAGCCAAUUUGGGCUCAGAAAUGUCCCCUCUCUAAAUUUUCCCCUCUGCACCUGAAGCUCCCACAGCCCAAGGAGAACUGGUGGGUGACAGGAAGGGGAAGCAUGACCUCCAGUGCACACAGUAUCCCAGCAGGGCCAGCUCACCCAGGAGCUGAGAGGGAGGGUCUCUCUGCUCUGUAGACACUGGGUUCAGGAUCAGGAGCUGAGACCCCAGAUCAGAUAGACCUAGACCGUGGCUCUUCCUCUUAGCAGCUGUGUGAGUCUCCGUUAUAGUGGGAAUGAUAUGGGGAACCACGUCUCCAUCUUAUUGUAAAGAUUUAUAAAAUAACCCGUGCAAGGUACUUGUGGGGAGAAAUGGCUCAAAGGACAGUGCCUGCUCCAAUCACGACUAUGACUAUUGUUUUUCUAAUCCAUGCCACAGACCUUGACUUUCUGCCUCCCACGCACAUCUCCCAGCAGGCAACGCCCUCCCGUCUGGCAGUUUACACUCUAGGCCUUUUCUGAGCCCCUAAGACUGGGCAGGUCCCCUGCACGCCCUAUGCACUCUGGCUUUCUCCUUCCCAACACUUUCCAAAAUCAUGAUGAAGUCAUUAUUUGGCUGGAGUGCUGCCCUCCAGGCAAGGAAUCUCGUGACAGCAGGGACUGUGAUUCUUUCAUUCGUUGCCAUAGAACUCGUGCCCGGUGAAGGGCGGCGUGGUGUGGUGAGGAUUCACGGUGAAUGCUGCAGAAUGGGUCCUUCAUUCGCUUAGCCAUUUAUUCAUUUACCCAGAGCUAGAUGAAUUUGACUCUCCACCUCCGUCAUUUACUUUCUGGGUGACCUAGAGAAGCAUCCUUCUUCUCUUAGCCUCAGUUGCCUCAUCUGUAAAAUGGGGCUAGCGUGGCCCUCACAGAGAAUGGCAAGGAGUCAUUGAGAUAAUGGGGCUAUGACACACAGAUAUUUUGAGCACCUGGCAUCUAGCAGUUGUUCAAUAGCCACUGGCUGUAGUAAGAGUCUUAUUUGGGCAAUUGUUACUGUUAUUGUUCUCCCUGAAACUACAGCAGGAGUUUGCUCUGCCCUUUCAUGUCAAAAUCCACUGGACUGACCCACACUGCCUGACUACUGGAAAGGCCAGGAAUGGCUGAUAAAAGUUCUUUCCUUCCUCCCUUCCUCCUUUUUCUUUCUUUCUUUCUUUUUUGAGACAGAGUUUCACUCUGUCGCCCAGGCUGGAGUGCAAUGGUGUGAUCCGGCUCACUGCAACCUCCGCCUCUCAGGUUCAAGCAAUUCUCCUGCCUCAGCCUCCCAAGUAGCUGGGAUUACAGGCAUUCGCCACAAUACCCAGCUACUUUUUUGUAUUUAGUAGAGAUGGGGUUUCACCAUGUAGGUCAGGCUAGUCUCGAACUCCUGACCUCAGGUGAUCCAUGCGCCUUGGCCUCUGAAAAUGCUGGGAUUACAGGCGUGAGCCUCUGUGCCCAGCCAAGCUAAUAUUUUUUUUUAAAUGUUUUGUAGAGGCAGGGGUCUUGCUAUGUUGCCCAGCCUGGCCUUGAAAUCCUGGCCUCAGGCAAUCCUCCCAAAGUGCUGGGAUUCAGCAUGAGCCACUGAGUCAUUCAUUCAUGCAUGCAUGCACACAGUGAAUCCACAUUUUCCGAGUGCCCCCCAGGGGCCGGGCCCAAGACUAGGUGCUGGUGGUUGCAGGCAUAUAGGAGGGUCCUGGACUGAGGGGAAGCCAUCAGUUUAUCCUCUGUGCAAAGGGAAGUAGCUGAGCCCUCUGCCCGCAUCCUGUCACCCCCAUCCCCCCAUCGGCUGGUCCAUCUGUGUCCUUUUCCUGAACCUCUUUCAUCCUGGCCUGGGCAGGGGGCUCGGCACCCCCACCCCUCCCUGCAGCCAUUUCCUGCCCUCCUGUCAUCUGCUUCCUUUGAUCCUUUUGUUGGAAGACUCUUGGAAGCCUCUGAGCCGUUGGCAACCCCGUCUACUGGGCUGGGGCUGGUGACCCUACAGGGGCUGUGCCCAAAGUGGGCUUCUCUUGGAAUCCUGCUCUGGGAGGCAGAUGGAUUCUGACCACAUUUGUUCAUUCGCUCAUUCACUUAUUCAUUCACAGGUUCCAGGCUCUAUGCUGGGCCCAGGGGCCACAAAGUAAGCAAGACAGCCAUGGACCCUGCCCUCAUGGAACUCCAGCCCAAGGAACAGUGGCUCAUCCCAUGCCAAGGGGCUCCUCUCAAAAUUCCCACAGCAGUAGCGAUCUAAAGGACCUGGGCAGGGGCACUGGAAUUCAAGUCCCAGCCUCUGGCGAGUGUCUUUACUCUUGAGCCCCAGUUCCAUACGUGGGUACUUGCGGAGGGACUGGACCCCAUAUUCCCUAAGGCCUUCCAAGCUCAAAAACUGUGAGAAGAUGCGGUGUGGCCAGGACGCUGCUAGAGUGAGCUUCCUGGAUGCAGGAAGGGGGCUCUGGGCCCAGCAGAGAGGCAGGGUGAGGAGGCCAGAAGUAUAGGGGGCCCAGUUUGACGGGAGAUGGAAUACACAUUGUCAUUUUGAUUUUUUUCUUUUUUAUUUAAUACUGUUGAUUCAACAGUAAGAAUACACAUUGUUGAUCAGAAAAUGAAUAGAGCCUUAUCCCCAAAGACAACAAGCCUCUUCUCUUUAUCUUGUAUGGGGCCUCCACAACCGGCUCAGGACAGGAGUUAAGUCCAUGCUGGGAAGGGGCUACCAUUUAUUGAGCACUUACUAUGUGCUAGGGAUGCUGGGCUGAGCUCUUCAUGUCAGGCAUGAAUCCAUGGAAUCCCCACUCUGGUCCUAUGAAGCAGGUGCAAUCAUUCUUCCCAUUUUACAGAUGAGAACAGGGAGGCACGGAGAGAUGAAGAUUGCCCAGAGUCCCACAGCUUGCAAGAUGCCACAGCUGGGUUUUGAACCCUGUUUGCCUGGCUUCAGCCCCCACACUGUUCUGUCCCCUGGUGACUGAAUGGGGGGACCUCCAGGCAUCAGGACGCUGGGCUACACAAGGUAGCAGACUUUCUGGGGUCUGCCUCAGUAGUUCCAGUCUUGUGGCUGGGUGGUUCACCCCCUUUCCCUCAGAGGGUGGAAAACAGUCAGAGAAGACAGCAGGAGGCCCACCUGCCACAGGAAGUCCUUCAGAGGACAGCAGUAGGGACUCCUAGAAUGGCUUCCCCACCCACCCUUCAGGGCUCCUGGAGUCCCAGCAAGGCUGGCACCAGCUCCCUCAAGCCCUUUUAGGAAUUGCCAGUGGCUGAGCUUCUCCUAGUUCUUGGUGUGAUGGACUCCUAUAGAGCUCUCAACACCCUGCUCAGGUGCCCCUCAACCUCCCUAGGAUGACUCAAUCCCUCCUCUCUCAAUGCCCUCCUCUGCAUCUGAUACCCUUUCCUAUACACACUGCGACUCGUACUGUGGAAACCUGCAAACGUGUGCUCGUUGUUGAUAGUACAGCAAUACCAGCCUCUUCAGCCAGCAUUUUUUCUGUGCCGGGCCCCAUGCCAUGUGCACAACCCUCACCAGCACCUGGGACUGUUCUUACCCCCACUUUACAGAUAAGCAAGUUAAGGCACAAAAAACACUUAGGUGUCUUAUCCAGUGAUCCAGGGAGGCCAGGCACUGUGGCUCACACCUGUAAUCCCAGCAUUUUGGGAGGCUGACAAGGGCCAAUUGCUUUCACCUAGGAGUUUAAAACCAGCCUGGGCAACAUGGCGAAACCCCAUCUCUAUGAAAAAUACAAAAAUUAGCUGGGGGUGGUGGCGCAUGCCUGUAGACUCAGCUCCUAGGGAGGCUGAGGUAGGAAGAUCACUUAAGCCUGGGGAGGUCAAGGCUGCCGUAAACUGUGAUUGCGUCACUGCACUCCAGCCUGGGAGACAGAGUGAGACAAAAAAACAAAACAAAACAAAAUACAAAACUGUGACCCAGGGACCACCUGCAGGGAGUGCCUGUCCUGGCCAUGCCUGGAUUUCUAACCCCAUCCUUAGUGUCUGCCUUCCGGCCUCCUGGGUUUUACUGCCUCACAAGGGGCCCUUUAGGAACAAUUGUUUUGUUUUGUUUUGUUUUGUUUGAGAUGGAGUCUCGCUCUGUUGCCAGGCUGGAGUGCAGUGGCGCAAUCUCACCUCACUGCAAUCUCUGCCUCCCGGGUUCAAGCGAUUCUCAUGCUGCUCAGCCUCCUGAGUAGCUGGGACUACAGGUGCACACCGCCACACCUGGAUAAUUUUUGUAUUUUUAGUAGAGAUGGGGUUUCACCACAUUGGCCAGGCUGGUCUCAAGCUUCUGACCUCCAGUGACCCGCCCGCCUCAGCCUCCCAAUGAAUAAUUGUUGAAUGAAUAAAGGAAUGAGAAGUCAAUUUUCUCCAAGGUGCUUGUGGCUGACUUGUCCCGCCCCAGACCAUGCAGCUCCACUGCUCCCCUUUCCC